UACGAAGGGGGCUAGCGUUGCUCGGAAUCACUGGGCGUAAAGCGCACGUAGGCGGCUUUUUAAGUCAGGGGUGAAAUCCUGGAGCUCAACUCCAGAACUGCCUUUGAUACUGAGAAGCUUGAGUCCGGGAGAGGUGAGUGGAACUGCGAGUGUAGAGGUGAAAUUCGUAGAUAUUCGCAAGAACACCAGUGGCGAAGGCGGCUCACUGGCCCGGUACUGACGCUGAGGUGCGAAAGCAUGGGGAGCGAACAGG
RNAcentral lists this ribosomal RNA (253 nucleotides) under uncultured bacterium. Its description in RNAcentral is "partial 16S ribosomal RNA". It matches the Rfam family "Bacterial small subunit ribosomal RNA", at positions 524 to 776 of the family's 1533-position model. The record is from RNAcentral.